RNAcentral lists this ribosomal RNA (253 nucleotides) under uncultured bacterium. RNAcentral's name for it is "partial 16S ribosomal RNA". It matches the Rfam family "Bacterial small subunit ribosomal RNA", at positions 524 to 776 of the family's 1533-position model. The record is from RNAcentral.
UACGGAGGGAGCUAGCGUUGUUCGGAAUUACUGGGCGUAAAGCGUGCGUAGGCGGUCCGCGAAGUCUGAUGUGAAAGCCCCGGGCUCAACCUGGGAACUGCAUUGGAAACUAACGGGCUCGAGUGUGGCAGAGGGGGGUGGAAUUCCACGUGUAGCAGUGAAAUGCGUAGAGAUGUGGAGGAACACCGAUGGCGAAGGCAGCCCCCUGGGUCAAGAUUGACGCUCAUGCACGAAAGCGUGGGGAGCAAACAGG